GGGUUGUGAGGUUAAGCGACUAAGCGUACACGGUGGAUGCCCUGGCAGUCAGAGGCGAUGAAGGACGUGCUAAUCUGCGAUAAGCGUCGGUAAGGUGAUAUGAACCGUUAUAACCGGCGAUUUCCGAAUGGGGAAACCCAGUGUGUUUCGACACACUAUCAUUAACUGAAUCCAUAGGUUAAUGAGGCGAACCGGGGGAACUGAAACAUCUAAGUACCCCGAGGAAAAGAAAUCAACCGAGAUUCCCCCAGUAGCGGCGAGCGAACGGGGAGCAGCCCAGAGCCUGAAUCAGUGUGUGUGUUAGUGGAAGCGUCUGGAAAGGCGCGCGAUACAGGGUGACAGCCCCGUACACAAAAAUGCACAUGCUGUGAGCUCGAUGAGUAGGGCGGGACACGUGGUAUCCUGUCUGAAUAUGGGGGGACCAUCCUCCAAGGCUAAAUACUCCUGACUGACCGAUAGUGAACCAGUACCGUGAGGGAAAGGCGAAAAGAACCCCGGCGAGGGGAGUGAAAAAGAACCUGAAACCGUGUACGUACAAGCAGUGGGAGCACGCUUAGGCGUGUGACUGCGUACCUUUUGUAUAAUGGGUCAGCGACUUAUAUUCUGUAGCAAGGUUAACCGAAUAGGGGAGCCGAAGGGAAACCGAGUCUUAACUGGGCGUUAAGUUGCAGGGUAUAGACCCGAAACCCGGUGAUCUAGCCAUGGGCAGGUUGAAGGUUGGGUAACACUAACUGGAGGACCGAACCGACUAAUGUUGAAAAAUUAGCGGAUGACUUGUGGCUGGGGGUGAAAGGCCAAUCAAACCGGGAGAUAGCUGGUUCUCCCCGAAAGCUAUUUAGGUAGCGCCUCGUGAAUUCAUCUCCGGGGGUAGAGCACUGUUUCGGCAAGGGGGUCAUCCCGACUUACCAACCCGAUGCAAACUG
Molecule: ribosomal RNA, 923 nt
Filed under: Shigella flexneri
Lineage: Bacteria; Pseudomonadati; Pseudomonadota; Gammaproteobacteria; Enterobacterales; Enterobacteriaceae
Description: partial 23S ribosomal RNA
Rfam family: Bacterial large subunit ribosomal RNA
Source: RNAcentral